GGAGGCAUAGCUCAGCCGGUAGAGCGCUCGCCUCACACGCGAGAGGUCGUAGAUUCGAGUUCUACUGUCUCCACCA
This 76-nucleotide transfer RNA is filed under the name bioreactor metagenome. Its description in RNAcentral is "tRNA-Val". It matches the Rfam family "tRNA". Rfam says of the family: Transfer RNA (tRNA) molecules are approximately 80 nucleotides in length. Their secondary structure includes four short double-helical elements and three loops (D, anti-codon, and T loops). Further hydrogen bonds mediate the characteristic L-shaped molecular structure. tRNAs have two regions of fundamental functional importance: the anti-codon, which is responsible for specific mRNA codon recognition, and the 3' end, to which the tRNAs corresponding amino acid is attached (by aminoacyl-tRNA synthetases). tRNAs cope with the degeneracy of the genetic code in two manners: having more than one tRNA (with a specific anti-codon) for a particular amino acid; and 'wobble' base-pairing, i.e. permitting non-standard base-pairing at the 3rd anti-codon position. The record is from RNAcentral.